CGCCCCUUGUCCGCUCAAUCCGUCUUUCUCACCUACUGCGUGCGGUUGGAGGAAUGGCGUUUGAGACAAAGCAAGUUGACGAUAUUUUUUCUAAGUGCGCAUAAGCUAUCAAUUGAUUAAUGUGGGGAGGAAGUUAUUUGUAGUUUUUAUUAGAUAAUAGUAUUUGAGUGUAACUCAGUUUUAGGUUACUUGCUAGCAGUUGGCUGCUAAGUCAUUGUGGUGGCUAGCUUGUCAGGCUAGCUUUAGGGCAGCCUAAAAUAUAUUUAGUUACGUUUAGGUUUUUAUCCGACUUUUUUUAUUUAAAUCCAAGCUGGUGCAAUAAACCGACAACUCAAAAGCCUUGGCUACGAUAAUCUAAACUCAAAUCUUGCUGUUGUGGAAAAUCAGGUAAUGUGAACUGUGCAAUUGAAUCAUCACCGCUUCCAUUCAACCCCUGGAAGAUCUUCAGAUCUUCUUCCUAUUUAUGCAUUUCUAUUGACUAAGAUUUGUACAAAAUGUUACUUUUGGUUGAAAGUGUUCAAUAAAUGCAGUGACUUAACUCA
Long non-coding RNA from Coregonus clupeaformis (lake whitefish), 542 nucleotides. RefSeq lists it as uncharacterized. NCBI's taxonomy places the organism in Eukaryota, Metazoa, Chordata, Actinopteri, Salmoniformes, Salmonidae. The record is from RefSeq and is a predicted model, not a curated record. The transcript is spliced from 3 exons.